CGCUGUUCCCAGUGUCUCGCCCACCCCCGCGGGGCCCGUCCGACUCGACGGGUGAGCCCGUGGUUCCCGGCUCCGCACCGUCGCCUGCCUCUCUGCAGACCACCCCGGACCCGACCCCUCAGCCACUUCCCCACGCUGCCCCUUUCGCUUCCCCCAUGACGCGGGGCCUAGGACGAGGGUCUGGGCCAAGAGGAACUUCCCCGCAAGAAGUGCCGAGCUAAGGACGCUACUAAGGGGGCGGGAUCGCCACGUGGAGUUUUGUUUUAGGUGCUGUCUCUCCUGUUGUUGUUGUCCUUUACACGAUGGUGUUGCAAGAAAAUGGAUAUGGUGUUGAGGAAGACAUUCCAACAUUACUAAUGGCUGCUAGCAGUAUGGAUGACAUUCUGGCUAUCACUGGAUUCAAUACAUGCUUGAGCAUAGUCUUCUCCUCGGGUAAACAAGAAAAUAUAACAACCACCAGAUCAUUCAUGACCUUUUUUGCUGUGCUAGGUCCUCUGGCUCUAGAAACAGCAAGAGUCUCCGCACCCCACUUGGAACCAUAUGCGAAGGAUGUGAUGACAGUAGCAUUUUUAGCCAUCUCGAUCACAGCUCCAAAUGGAGCUCUACUUAUGGGCAUUCUGGGGCCUAAAAUGCUUACACACCAUUAUGAUCCAAGCAAAAUAAAACUGCAAUUGUCAACAUUAGAACAUCAUUAAA
Long non-coding RNA from Homo sapiens (human), 696 nucleotides. RefSeq lists it as uncharacterized. The record is from RefSeq and is a predicted model, not a curated record. NCBI's taxonomy places the organism in Eukaryota, Metazoa, Chordata, Mammalia, Primates, Hominidae. The transcript is spliced from 3 exons.